UACAGAGGUCCCAAGCGUUGUUCGGAUUCACUGGGCGUAACGGGUGCGUAGGCGGUCGGGUAAGUCUGACGUGAAAUCUUCAAGCUCAACUUGGAAACUGCGUCGGAUACUAUUCGGCUAGAGGAAUGGAGGGGCGACUGGAUUACUGGUGUAGCAGUGAAAUGCGUAGAUAUCAAGUGGAACACCAGUGGCGAAGGCGAGUCUCUGGACAUUUCCUGACGCUGAGGCACGAAAGCCAGGGGAGCAAACGGG
RNAcentral lists this ribosomal RNA (252 nucleotides) under uncultured bacterium. Its description in RNAcentral is "partial 16S ribosomal RNA". It matches the Rfam family "Bacterial small subunit ribosomal RNA", at positions 524 to 776 of the family's 1533-position model. The record is from RNAcentral.